This is a long non-coding RNA of Brienomyrus brachyistius, 1709 nucleotides long. RefSeq lists it as uncharacterized. The transcript has 3 exons. NCBI's taxonomy places the organism in Eukaryota, Metazoa, Chordata, Actinopteri, Osteoglossiformes, Mormyridae. The record is from RefSeq and is a predicted model, not a curated record.
CUGUUUGUGUCCCUGGUUUGGGCCCCAUGCUUCCGGGAUGUGCCCCAGGCUGACUGUGACCCCAGCCUGGGCAAGAGGGGGAAAGAUAGAUGGAUGAUUUUUAAACAUUUAAAACCCACAAAAAGGGAGGCAGUGAGGUUAAGGAGAGUCAGGAAUUGAGUGUCAGUCUCCACAGAUCUGAGGUCAGCGAUACACACAUAAGGCUCCUCUGAUGCUCCUCUUCAUCUUCUUCUUCACUGAUGGGCCUCCAGGACAUAAGCCAAGUCAAAUGAAAGCGGUGUGACUGAAUUCAACAUGGAGCAUUACAACAGAAGAGGAAGAGGAGUGCGAGUCAGAGGAGGUGGACGAGGAGGAAGACCAAGAAGAAGAGGUGUAAUUUCAAAUGAAAUCAGAGCAACGGUCAUAGAUCACGUUGUGGUUCAUGGCAUGACUAUGAGGGAAGCAGGACAACACGUGCAACCAAAUCUAUGCCGGUUCACAGUGGCCUCCAUGGUCAGGACCUUCAGGGAAGAAAACCGAAUUGACAGAUGGCCACAUACAGUAGGGGUGGAAGAGCAUGUAAGUUCUCAGAAGAACACGAGAUAGUAAUUGUUGAGAUGGUCCAUCAAAACAAUGCAAUACAACUGUGUGAAAUACAACAGCAGAUUAUUGAAGACAAUGUGCAUUUCGAUAGAAUAAAUCAUGUGAGUCUUUCAACAAAUGACCGUGUCCUGCAACGCAACCAGAUAAGGAUGAAACAAGCCUAUAGGGUGCCGUUUGAGCGAAACUGAAAUAGUGAAAGAGCAACGAAAUCAAUAUGUGCAAGUAACUAAACUGUUACAGUACACUCUGCACUAGCAUGUACAGUAUACUGUACUAUAUAUGUCAUUCACAGAACGGAGGGUAAUCUAUUUUGAUUGUGUAUAGAGACUUUUUGAACUUGACUCAAUGGAGAGGCCUCACAAAUACAUCUUCAUGGAUGAAGCUGGAUUCAAUCUGGCAAAAAGGAGAAAGAGAGGUCGCAGCAUAACUGGUCAACGUGCCAUUGUAGAAGUGCCUGGCCAGUGUGGUGGAAAUGUGACCAUAUGCGCUGCCAUCAGCAGCUAUGGGGUUGUCCACUGCCAUGUUGUUGUUGGGCCAUACGAUACUGACCUUCUUCUAACAUUCCUGGAUGGUCUAUGGGAUGCUUUGCUCGGACAUGAGCGGAGAGGUGACGAGCAGGCAGAGCAUCGCAUUUAUGUUAUCAUUUAGGACAAUGUGAGCUUUCACCGUGGUCCAAGAAUACGUGAUUGGUUUAACAAUAACCAGCAUUUUAUGAAUGUUUGCCUUCCACCAUACACUCCCUUUUUAAACCCUACUGAGGAAUUUUUCUCAGCAUGGCGGUGGAAAGUAUAUUACCGAAAUCCCUACAUACUGGAAAAUCUCAUCCAAGCAAUGGAUGCAGCGUGUGAUGAUGUAAGAAUGGAAUCUUGCCAAGGCUGGAUUCGGGAAGCCAAAGGAUUCUUUCCACGUUGUCUUGCAAGUGAGAACAUUGCAUGUGAUGUAGAUGAAGUCCUGUGGCCUGACUGGAUGCAGAGGCAUGAUGAUGCGGCUGAAUCACUGAUCGAUUUUGAUGUAAAAAUAUGUAAAAGUACAGAGUGCAUUUUGUUUUGCUGCAGGUUUCUUUGUUUGGAUGUAAAUAAGCUUUCAUAGGUACAGGAAUGUCCUAAAUAAAGAUUAUUUUCCUUUUA